GUUGUGGGUUUAUUAGCCAAUAAGUGAGGUGUUGGAGAAAAAUAGAGAAUGAGAUUGGUCCUAAGAUAGGGUCCCAAAACAUUGGAGAUUGACUGACUCGCACAUAAUAAGCAUAGACAUUUUCCUCCAUGUGACUAUAUAUUUAUCUUGGGUAGGAGAUGUUGGAUUAGGCCAAGCUGACACUAUUCAAUUACGUGUUGAAAUGAGUCUUUCAGCCUCAGAAACAUCGCCAAAUAUUAUUGCUAUGGUUCCCCUAUUGAAUUCUGCUCCUAGAAGGUCCCUGGGCGAUCCACCAAAGUUUAACACGACACCUUAUGCUACACGAAGAACAUGUGCGCCAAACUGUCUUAGCAAGGACGGUCAUGAGAUCAUAUAUGAUCUCUGGAAGUUGAUGAACAUCAUGCAUGGUUCUCGCAUGGUCGGGCCAACUAACAAUUCCCACUACUAGUACAGUUGUGCAAUGCAAGAUGUGUGUAUCCCUUUAGGCCGGUCUUUCCCUGCCAAGUUCGCCGCAUAUAUAAGUUCAAUAAAAGUUUGCCACAUAUAUUAUAUAAA
Long non-coding RNA from Sorghum bicolor (sorghum), 555 nucleotides. RefSeq lists it as uncharacterized. The transcript has 2 exons. NCBI's taxonomy places the organism in Eukaryota, Viridiplantae, Streptophyta, Magnoliopsida, Poales, Poaceae. The record is from RefSeq and is a predicted model, not a curated record.